Molecule: ribosomal RNA, 467 nt
Filed under: uncultured bacterium
Lineage: Bacteria
Description: partial 16S ribosomal RNA
Rfam family: Bacterial small subunit ribosomal RNA
Source: RNAcentral
GACGAACGCUGGCGGCGUGCUUAACACAUGCAAGUCGAACGGAAAGGCCCUGCUUUUGUGGGGUGCUCGAGUGGCGAACGGGUGAGUAACACGUGAGUAACCUGCCCUUGACUUUGGGAUAACUUCAGGAAACUGGGGCUAAUACCGGAUAGGAGCUCCUGCUGCAUGGUGGGGGUUGGAAAGUUUCGGCGGUUGGGGAUGGACUCGCGGCUUAUCAGCUUGUUGGUGGGGUAGUGGCUUACCAAGGCUUUGACGGGUAGCCGGCCUGAGAGGGUGACCGGCAACAUUGGGACUGAGAUACGGCCCAGACUCCUACGGGAGGCAGCAGUGGGGAAUAUGGCACAAUGGGCGGAGGCCUGAUGCAGCAACGCCGCGUGCGGGAUGACGGCCUUCGGGUGGUAAACCGCUUUCGCCUGUGACGAAGCGUGAGUGACGGUAAUGGGUAAAGAAGCACCGGCUAACUACGU